Molecule: ribosomal RNA, 247 nt
Filed under: uncultured fungus
Lineage: Eukaryota; Fungi
Description: partial 18S ribosomal RNA
Rfam family: Eukaryotic small subunit ribosomal RNA
Source: RNAcentral
GUAGUCAUAUGCUUGUCUCAAAGAUUAAGCCAUGCAUGUCUAAGUAUAAGCAAUCUAUACAGUGAAACUGCGAAUGGCUCAUUAAAUCAGUUAUCGUUUAUUUGAUAGUACCUUACUCCUUGGUGAUCCAUGAUAACUUUACGAAUCGCAAGGCCUUGUGCCGGCGAUGGUUCAUUCAAAUUUCUGCCCUAUCAACUUUCGAUGGUAGGAUAGUGGCCUACCAUGGUUUCAACGGGUAACGGGGAAU